CUAGUCGCUGGUAGCGGACUGGUUUUUUUUUCAUGAAGUAAGACCGGCUACCAGGACAAUACAUGCUUUACCUUACUACGGGAGAGAAAAUGUUUGAAAAAACUUUGCCACCAUAAUUGCCUUAUUCUCGCCAAUCCAAACGACGAACACGAUUUCCACCAAGUCUUCUUACGGGUACCAUUUGCACCCUCUAAGCUAUGGGUACCAUUUGUACCCCCUAACCCCAAGACAAACGAUGCCAGUUUUUUUGAAA
Paramuricea clavata is the source of this 253-nucleotide non-coding RNA. Lineage: Eukaryota; Metazoa; Cnidaria; Anthozoa; Malacalcyonacea; Plexauridae. The record is from the annotation of a GenBank genome assembly.